Molecule: ribosomal RNA, 198 nt
Filed under: uncultured bacterium
Lineage: Bacteria
Description: partial 16S ribosomal RNA
Rfam family: Bacterial small subunit ribosomal RNA
Source: RNAcentral
AGGCUGNAACCCGCCUGCAUGGAGUCGGAAUUGCUAGUAAUCGCGGAUCAGCAUGCCGCGGUGAAUACGUUCCCGGGCCUUGUACACACCGCCCGUCACACCAUGGGAGCCGGUAAUACCCGAAGUCAGUAGUCCAACCUCGUGAGGACGCUGCCGAAGGUAGGAUUGGCGACUGGGGUGAAGUCGUAACAAGGUAGC